AUCCUCGGGAUACAGAUUACC
Molecule: microRNA, 21 nt
Filed under: Brassica napus (rape)
Lineage: Eukaryota; Viridiplantae; Streptophyta; Magnoliopsida; Brassicales; Brassicaceae
Also listed under: 1 other name
Description: bna-miR2111b-3p
Source: miRBase by way of RNAcentral